CCAAUGAGUGUCGAGUGAGUGAACAUGAGAUCUAAGGAAUCCGAAGAGUGGGCCCCUUCGGGGCGUGAACUACAACGACUUUCCAACAGGUUUAACCGCCAAUGAGCUCUUUCUCGGAAAAGGUCCUCCCCUGAACAGCGAGCGACGAAGCACAAACCACAAACCAGCAGAGCACCCCCAAAAAAUCCACCGCCAUUUGGGUCCCUGUCAGUAAAAAUCUCGAACACCUAGUUCGCAGAUAUCCGAACCCUAUAAAUAGCUGCCCGUAAUCACCGUUCACCGACCAAAUGCCAUCUCCUAUUUUCCUUGUAACAACGUAGUCUACACCUGCAGAUAUUCUGUUUCUUCGUUUCCUCCCUCUCUCUAGUGUACAACAGGCUAGUUAUCAGCAUCAAUGGAUUUCUAGAGAUAAACCCGUCUUUCUUCCAACAAAAUCUCCCCCGUCUUCUUCAGCUUCGUUAGAAACUUCUGCUGCUCUGUCUGGGAGUGGCGGCCCUUCUGGUGAAAAUCCUGGGUUUCCUCCGAUUCCCGCCUCGGUGUGGCCUUCUUCGUCUUCUAUGUCAGUGGGGUUUAAGGCAUCUUUUACUCAAGCUUGUUCUUUUGGUGAAAGUUCGGCUUUGGCCGGUUCGUCUUCUUCUGCUUCGGCUUCUCCAUUGGCGGAGCAUGAAGGUUUCUGUUCUAUGGACCCUUCUGUUUCUGUGAAGAUGGAAUCCAUAGGAAGCUCUUCUGGAGACAAAACCCCAUUUUUAUCGUCUCCUCGGUUGAUAACCGAAUCUGAAGCAGCUGGGGGAGGUUUUACAUCGGUGAGGGGCAGUGAGGAAGAGAGUCUUCCGGUUCCCCGGCCCCUCGAAUGCCUUCAGGGUAACCUGAUUCCUCCUUUCCUUUCCAAGACCUAUGAUUUGGUCGAAGAUCCUUCUCUUGAUAAGGUGAUCUCAUGGGAACCGAGUGGUGAGAGUUUUGAGGUUUGGGAUCCCGUGGAGUUUGCGAGGGCUGUCCUUCCCCAGAAUUUCAAGCACAACAAUUUCUCCAGUUUUGUGCGCCAGCUAAAUACUUAUGGGUUCCGCAAGGUUGAUACAGAUCGAUGGGAGUUUGCUAAUGAAGAUUUUCUACGAGGAAAGAGGCAUUUGUUGAAGAACAUCCAUAGGCGCAAGUCAAAUCAAACACAUCAGAUUGGGAGCUAUAGUGGGCUAACUACUGAAACAGAAAAGCUUGGAUUGGAAAAAGAAGUAGAAAGGCUUAGGAGGGAGAAGAAUUUCUUAAUGCAGGAGGUUAUAAAGUUGCAGCAGGAACAACAUGGGACAGCUGACCAGGUGGAGACAAUGAAUCAGAGGCUCCAGGCAGCAGAGCAGAGACAGAAGCAGAUGGUCACCUUUUUGGCGAAAGUGCUUCAAAAUCCUACACUCUUAACUCAUCUUCAGAAAAAGGCAGAACAUAGAGGGAUUGCUUCUCCAAGGGUGAAAAGAAAGUUCAUCAAACAGCAUCACCUUGAUCAAAGGAAAUUGGAUCCUUCCAUGGAAGGGCAGAUAGUGAAGUAUAACACUGUUGAAGACAACCUCAAUACGUCCUCAGUAAUGGAAAAGUUAGAUCCAGUCUCUGGUACACAACUUCCUGGUUAUAUCUUACAAGAUAUGGUAGGGAAGUUGGGUCUUGGUGCAGCAAGCAUUCACAUUGAAACUGAAAAUGUUGCAUCCAGUGAAAUGCAGCAAGAACUUGUUGGGGCCUCAAGUCAGAUGGAAGUAGGGACAUUGGACUUGGGAACUCUGGGCUCUGAAGUUGCUCUCCUCAAAGGAAAGAAUGUUAUGAGCCUCCAAGAAGAAGGUAGUGCUGAUUAUUUUGUCUCUUUCCCUGAGGGUUUGGCAAAAGAUAAGACACUUCCAGACUUCAUGUCCCCAGGAACCGAAAGCAUCAGUAAACAGGAUGAUAUAUGGAGCAUGGGUUUUGAUGCCAGUGCUAAUGUCUCUAGUCUCUGUCCUGAUAUGUGGGAUAACGCCAUUAAUUAUGAUGCUCAAGAUCUGGGAAUCAUGGGUGGGAUAUCGGAUCCAUGGGACCUGAGUUCACUACAAGCAGCAGGAGGUGGAACUGAUAAUUCUCAAAACAGGGGUACCUAGGGUUUCAUCUGCUUCAGCAUUGAUGCCCUCAGUAGAUCCCCAUCUUGUAUAUUUUCUUUUCCUAUACAAGGUUUUCUAAACUUCAAUCAACUUAUUAUAAUAUAUACAGUGAUUUAUGGUUUUCAUUCCUUUUUAUUAAUUUCACUGCAAGUUAUAUCCCAUGUAUUAUAAUCUGUUUCUUAAAUUUUAUUUUACCAAUUUUUAUGGGUUCCUAUCUAUAUGCCAAUUGAAUGAAGAAUGCCUUCUCUUAUGAGCUGAACCUGUGUUGCAAGAUUUUCUUGCCAACAGAUCUUUUAAGUUCUGAAUACUGCAAGUUUUUUGACAGCGAGAUCUAUAAGUACUCUUCUGUAGGGAUAUAUAAACAGGUUUGGUUGUCUACUCUAGCAGUCUGGCAUCCAGGUUCUGGGGGAAGAACCGAUGAAACUGAUGCUCCAUGUGCUGCUUGUGGGAUCUGGAGUAGGAGAACAUGGCGAUUGGGUUCUCAUGCAGUUUGUUUCUGUCACAGCUGCAUGGAAUUUCUUAUGAGUUAUCAUUUUGCCUGGUUUUAGGGCAGUUAUUAAUGUAGUAUGUAAAAUAGAUGGAUUUGAAUCUUUGCUGCGUGUAUGUGCAUUGCCAGGAUGUAUUUUGAUUUGUUCCAUCCAUGACGCACCCUGCAUCAAGGUUGUUUUAAGUGCUAAUUCAGUUUGGUUCGCUUUCAAGAAGGAAGAGGAAAAUCUCUUGAAUUUCAAGUUUAGGGUUGUCAAUUGGUCAAGUAGAUCCAACGGACUAACAUUUUUUUUUUCUGUUGAUAAUUACAGCAGACUAAUUGAUCCAACCCUAUAUAACACAGGUUCUGGGUCUGCAUUUCGAGUCUCAAUUUUAGUAUGGAAUGUAACUGAUUUUACCUGUUCUUAUCUGGUAUCAAUCAUGUACAUGCUACAUACGUACUUGUACAGUUGUACACAUCUAUUUGUGUUUCUCAUGGUGUACCUAUGACAAUUUCAUCAAAAUUUGUAAUUUUA
This is a non-coding RNA of Nelumbo nucifera (sacred lotus), 3109 nucleotides long. Lineage: Eukaryota; Viridiplantae; Streptophyta; Magnoliopsida; Proteales; Nelumbonaceae. The record is from RefSeq and is a predicted model, not a curated record.